Long non-coding RNA from Bombus terrestris (buff-tailed bumblebee), 1344 nucleotides. RefSeq lists it as uncharacterized. NCBI's taxonomy places the organism in Eukaryota, Metazoa, Arthropoda, Insecta, Hymenoptera, Apidae. The record is from RefSeq and is a predicted model, not a curated record. The transcript has 2 exons.
CCGGCACAACAAUGUAAUUAAUCAUGCCGCAAAAAGGGAAAUCCCUCCUCGUAAUUCUCACGUAGCGCGCAGUUGACCACUCAUUUUAUAUCUUAUUUUUAAAUGGAAGUUUAUUUGUCUCGAUCAUCAGGGUGAUUUGUUUCCUGUUCAAUCAUCCUCUCCUUGACACGAUUAAAAGUUAUUCAACGUAGAGGCGUACGUGUAAAUAGUUCGAGUGAUUUACAAUUAGAAAUAUUGGUUCGUUCGAGCGAUAAUUAAUUAUAUAACUCACUUUGGAUAUUUAUAUAUAGCCGCGGUACGAUCAAAGGAUACACAUGAAAAUCUUACGGUGCUCGAUUUUAUUGCUGUUAGAAUUUUCCUAUAACGAAAAAAUAUUUCAGAGGAAUUUUAAAAUUCGUUGGAAUCGAUUACAUGAGAUGUGCAUUUUAUGCUUGUAAAUUGCACGAGGCAUAUUUUUCGCGUGUUUGUAUGUAGAUAAGUGAUGUAUUAUAAAAGUGGAUUCAUAGAAACGCGAGCCAAUCGAGAAUCGCUGUGGAAAAUCCGCUUUCAAUCCUGACUGCACGGCGAAGGAUGAGACGGGAACUUUAUUUAUGAAAGGUUAUUCUUGAGGAAACGCAUACGAACCGAUACGAUCGUCAUUGAGUUGUGAACGAACGACAGCCGAUAUCAAUCAGGCUAGGAAUCAGGAAUGCAUUAAUUGUAUUUUCAAUUUCCAUAUCAUUCAAAUAAAAGGUCGUUUAUACCAAUUGACCGUUUUACACAGUUCAAAAUUAUUCCAUGGUUACUAUGCAUUUCUUUAUUUGUAUUCUGUGCAGCAGGUAAACGACGAUGCAAAACAGGUUUCAAGGAGUCGUGCGUAAAUUUGUGCCAUCGACGAUUUACAAGAAAAGUUUUAUCUACUCAUGGCCUCAUUUGCAUAAUUGUACGCUCAAAGUUAACGUGAACUAGACGAAUUGGAAAAACCUAAUUGGAUUAUUUUUAUUUUUUCAAAAGGGAAGGUUUACGGAGCCGAGACUGAGGCCUGGAUAAAAGGAGAAUAAUGAUAGACGGAGCAAUUUUUUCUUAUUUCGCGCACCGAACUUUCACAGCUAAACAGGUUUUAUACUACUGUCAAAUUAAGAUCCAGCAGGUAGAUUUUCGGUUCUAUCCAUGACAAAAACUUAAAGUAUAUAAUUAACGUUAUAACGUCACGUCUCUUAUACAGGAUGUUCAUGCAGAUAUUUCUAUUGUAGUAAAAAUGACAAUGCAUAAUUUUUGAUUGAUGACUGUAAUUUGCGAAGAAUGUUGUUAUUUCUGACUUUUUCUUAUUUUAAAAUAUCGAUGAAAUAUAAUGUUAAGAAGUUA